AAUGGGGGCAACCCUGAUCCAGCCAUGCCGCGUGAGUGAAGAAGGCCUUCGGGUUGUAAAGCUCUUUCGCGAGGGAAGAAAUUGCACCGGAUAAUACCUGGUGUAGAUGACGGUACCUUGAUAAGAAGCACCGGCUAACUACGUGCCAGCAGCCGCGGUAAUACGUAGGGUGCGAGCGUUAAUCGGAAUUACUGGGCGUAAAGCGUGCGCAGGCGGUUUCGUAAGACAGGCGUGAAAUCCCCGGGCUUAACCUGGGAACUGCGCUUGUGACUGCGAGGCUAGAGUACGGCAGAGGGAGGUAGAAUUCCACGUGUAGCAGUGAAAUGCGUAGAGAUGUGGAGGAAUACCGAUGGCGAAGGCAGCCUCCUGGGCCAGUACUGACGCUCAUGCACGAAAGCGUGGGGAGCAAA
RNAcentral lists this ribosomal RNA (410 nucleotides) under uncultured bacterium. RNAcentral describes it as "bacterial SSU rRNA". It matches the Rfam family "Bacterial small subunit ribosomal RNA", at positions 370 to 772 of the family's 1533-position model. The record is from RNAcentral.